UCUGCCGCGGCCGGGAAGUUCGAACAGAAGUCUGGGGAAGAGCCGGCGAAGAGCAAAGAGAUAAUACAGUACUCCCAGCUAUAGCAAGCGGCAGUUAUGGAGCAUGCGCAGCAGCAGGGGCGGCCGCAGUCAAGGGAUUUGUACAGCCCUGUAGGAGACACCUCCAGAGAAAGUAACAGCUCUCAAUUGAUUAGCUGAGGAGACCGAUUUUGUAAAUCACUACUUUUCUAACAACACUGGCACAGAUGGCCAAGCAUUCUCCCUUUUCUCAGAGCUGGUUUUCCAUCCCGGAAAGAGAAUAAACAGAUGCUUUUACAGCUCGCCUUGGCGGGAAGAUCUGGCACAAAUGAAGUAUCUAUAAGGAGCAGCAGAGUCAAGGUGGUGAUCCUGUGGAUGAAUAACUGAAACCUGAUAUACUUGACAGCAGAAAAUAUAAAGCAAAUUGAAAAGGAGAGAGUGUGGAGAUAAAUAAGAAAAUGAAAGAACUGAUAAAGUCACUUGGAUUAAAAAACCUGGGAGUAAGGGCUUUGUUUAUGAUUGAACUUAAGAGAGAAUUGAGGGACCACCUACCUUUGAUGUUAACGAGAAAGUAAAGAGGAAACAUAUUUAGAGAUA
Molecule: long non-coding RNA, 615 nt
Filed under: Homo sapiens (human)
Lineage: Eukaryota; Metazoa; Chordata; Mammalia; Primates; Hominidae
Description: HSALNT0308282
Source: RNAcentral